This 459-nucleotide ribosomal RNA is filed under the name uncultured bacterium. RNAcentral's name for it is "bacterial SSU rRNA". It matches the Rfam family "Bacterial small subunit ribosomal RNA", at positions 28 to 468 of the family's 1533-position model. The record is from RNAcentral.
GAUGAACGCUAGCUACAGGCUUAACACAUGCAAGUCGAGGGGAAACGACAUCGAAAGCUUGCUUUUGGUGGGCGUCGACCGGCGCACGGGUGAGUAACGCGUAUCCAACCUUCCCGUUGCUAGGGGAUAACCUUGCGAAAGUAAGACUAAUACCCUAUGAAGUUCUUCGCAGGCAUCUAAAGAGAACGAAAGAUUUAUCGGCAACGGAUGGGGAUGGGCAUGCGGCGCAUUAGCUAGUUGGCGGGGCAACGGCCCACCAAGGCGACGAUGCGUAGGGGUUCUGAGAGGAAGGUCCCCCCACACUGGUACUGAGACACGGACCAGACUCCUACGGGAGGCAGCAGUGAGGAAUAUUGGUCAAUGGGCGCAGGCCUGACCAGCCAAGUCGCGUGAGGGAGGACGGUCCUACGGAUUGUAAACCNCUUUUGUCGGGGAGUAACGUGCGGGACGCGUCCCGUA